AGGGCACCACCAGGAGUGGAGCCUGCGGCUUAAUUUGACUCAACACGGGAAAACUCACCCGGCCCGGACACUGGAAGGAUUGACAGAUUGACAGCUCUUUCUUGAUUCAGUGGGUGGUGGUGGAUGGCCCUUCUUAGUUGGUGGAGUGAUUUGUCUGGUUAAUUCCAAUAACGAACGAGACUCUAGCCUACAAAAUAGAUCGUCGGCUUACGAACGCCGACGAGACUUCUUAGAGGGACAGGCGGUCAUCCACCCGCACAAAACAGAUAACUAACAUGUCUGUGAUGCCCUUAGAUGUCCGGGGCCGCACGCGCGCUACACUGAAGUGAUCACCGUGCCUUUUCAACCUACUCUGUCAAGAGUAGGGAACCCAACGAACCUUCGUCGUGAUAGGGAUAGGGGAUUGUUCUUAUUCCCCUUGAAAGACCAAUUCCCAGCAAGCAGAGCCAUAAUCUGAUGCUGACCACGCCCCUGCCCUUUCUUCACGUCGCCAGUCGCUUCUACUUAUUGAAUGGCGUC
RNAcentral lists this ribosomal RNA (519 nucleotides) under uncultured eukaryote. Its description in RNAcentral is "bacterial SSU rRNA". It matches the Rfam family "Eukaryotic small subunit ribosomal RNA", at positions 1161 to 1700 of the family's 1831-position model. The record is from RNAcentral.